GGAAAUCGGGGAGAGCCUGGCGACCCGUGCGAGGCGACGCGACACCGUACACCCUGAUUUGAUUGGGUCGAGAGCGCGGCUGCACGGCGAAAAGUAACACUCUGCUGUUGAGAGAAGGGAUUACUUGCUCGGUUUACUUUCCUUCUUUUAACUAACGGUUAUUUCCAGCAAAGAAUAUAAAUGGUUGUCUCAAAAUACUCGUCACUAGUCUUAGAGAAGCUCGUCAUCGUGCAUUCAGGAGGAGAAUUUGUUCUGCUUGCAAGAACGUAUCAUAAAAUUUGUGGAAGAAAAACUUGGCUCAAGUCUGACUAAUUCGUGUGUUAACUUGAUAUCCUUGAUUGAACUGCAACAUCUAUCUAGAAUUCAGAAACGUAUUUUGAGUAAAUUUGAUGCGCGGAUAUGUAAACUUAUGAAAUACUUCAAGCAAGCAACACUUACUCGAGUGCAGUGUAUAAUUUUCUGUGUGCAUAUUGACGGCGAAAAUUCAGUACAUGGGGAGAAUUUUAUAGUAAAAAUAACUACAGAAUUUUGUGGCCAAGAAACAGAUGGCUGUGCUGCAAUAAUUGAUAAUUUUGUGCUACGCAUAUCUUAGGACCUGAAGUGUACUAUUGAAAAAUUUGCUACACGAGACAUAUCGUGUUCCUUAGCAAGAUAUACCUCGUUAAGAGUCUAUUUCUGCAUUGCUGGAAACGUAGUAAAAUUGCGAAUGGUUCGUACGAAAGAAAAACCAUGAUAUUCCCUCCGUGUGGAUACUGUGGAAAACCAAACGUGACACUACAACAUUAUAUAGUCCACGCUACACACGGUAAAAAAUAUUAUGGUUGCUAUAUCUACGUACUCUAUGAUUAGAGAGAAAAUUUAUGCGAUUUCAAGUGAAAUAGAUACGGCAUUAAAAAUUGCUGUUAUUAUAUGUCCAUCUAUACAGUUCUCACAACCAUAGUUCUCAUGAUAUAUAAUGUUCAGUCAGUACAUUCUCAUAUAUACAUAGUUGCCUCAACCAAAGAAAUAUUGCUGUCUCCCAGUCUGUGGAACAAAUACUAAGAGAGAUCCGUAGAGUUUGUUUGCACCAUACAGCACUGAGAGUACUACUGAAACACAUAUGGAUAAGGAAGGUUAAUGUACCACUUCCAAAGUACUAUGGAUAAUGCAAUCAUCUUGUACGCGAAAGGUAACAUUAAUAUUUUGUUAUGGCAACCAUUAUUUAGGUAAGUAAUUUGUGUCUUCUCUGUGCGAUAAUAAUAUCGUAUACUUCGCAACUUUGCGAACGCAAAAACUCGCGCGUUGUGCGCGACAGUCCGCCUCAUCGCAGAUCCCGCGCGCACGCACUUCAAAGUAUCGGGUUGAUUGAGUAACAAGCAUUACGUCUCUUUGACUUUUCGGCUCAUUAAUCUGUACACAUCUGCGGGCCACAUCUCGGCCUGGAAUACGAUUCUUUCGCCCGUCGGUCAUUGGCCCCUUCGCGGAGCGAGCCGAUAUUCGAACUGCGUGCGUUACCAAUUGAUGAAAAUUAUUUUCGUGAGUUACGAUUGAUCGUAAUAAUGGCGGGGAUCGGUAGGAGAGCCCCGCCGCCCCGUCAUGAUAACCGAUCACUGGCCGCGGUCAAAAUUCCAAGUGAGGCGUGCCUGAAGGAGCAGAGACGAGAAGACACCCGCAAGAAGACCGGCCGUAAUUGACUCUUUGCGACUUAUUACGUAUGCAGGAAAAAAGGGGCCGAUACGAGUAGGUUAAUCACUCUCCCUCUCCUCCCCCUCCUCUUCCCCCCUGGCGCAGCGUGCAUUCCUGAGGCCCCGCUCUAACAAAUGCUAAUCCGUCAAUAGAGAUUUACAUAGUCGCGCUCCUCGCGCAACAAUGGCACAUUCUAUCGCGCGCCUUUGCCGUUACGCGCAUCGCGCAUUAGAUGCACUCACACAUACGUACACACACACGCGCGCGCGCGCGCGCGAUGUGCGCAGCAGGUCCAUCAUUCCUCGCACGUACCAAUAAGUGCAUCAACAUUCUUCUUCCUUAACGAAUUCUCGCGCCGGCGAUCGGCUUAACCGGCGCUCCAUGUACCAAUAGGUUUCGCCGAGAUACACGUAGCGGACGCUUUCUGGUCACGUAUAUGUCAUGUAACAGCGCCUCGGUCGCUGACCUCCCGAUUAAUUUAGAUGUUAAUUGACACUCCCGCUAGAGAGUCGCGAACUGUUUGCUCGGGGGAUGUCCCCUCCCCCUCCCCUUACCCUCUUCCGAGAUGAUGACGCUCGUUAUGACGCGUGAGAGGACCCGUGCGAUAAUAAUGUAUCGAGAAUAAUGCUCUCGCACGAAGAGGAUGUUAUAGAUUUUUCCUUGUUUUUUUGUUUUUUUUUUUCUUAUAAAUUCUUUUCCGUUUCACCAUGUUUCCAGUGGUACACGAAUCAGACUAUCAGUCUAUCUGAGGAACAUAGUAAAUUUCACUGGAAACAUUGCAAAUUUUUUUAAUGGCAGAUUUCAUUUCCUAAAACAUAAAUGGCAUAUAUGGAACUGUCGAUCUGUUCCUUUUAUGGUCACAAAAUUCUAUAGCGAUUCUUACUCACUGAAAUUCUCUCCGUGUAACUUUCUCGCCUCUGCGAGAUAACGCGGCGCGAAGAAAAUCUCCAUUAUUAAUCCAUUAUAUAUGAAUAAUUCAUUAUAAAUCCAUUAGGAUUAUUUCCCAAUCAAUUGGUUAAUAAUUUUCACGAUUAGCUGGCUGAUUAAUCCGUCAAAAUCCCUGAUGUGUUAAUUAGCCACGAGAAAAUCCGGUCAAUCCAACCGGCCACCCGUGGACCAACGCGACCGAUGAGAAUCCUGCUGGAUCAUUUCCUGAUUUUCUCGUGCACGACGACGAUGUCGGCGUUGGCCCGCAACAGUGUUAGUAGUAGCACCUGGCAAGAGGAGAGGCAGCGCGAUUAGAGCGGCACUAUUACGCGUUCCAUACGACGUACGGUGUGCAGUAGAAGGUGGUGCCGCGCGGAGAAGAGGAGGCGGGACACAUCUGGAAUGUGUGUAAGAUCGAUGGGAGAACGAUUUGAUAUUGCUAAAAGUUCUUUAAGUGUCAGUUUUAUGAGAUUUGUAAGAGCUUUAAAUAAUAUAGCUAGUAAUGUAAUUGAUGGCCUGAAAGAAGAACUCAUGUGAAAGAAGCCUUUCAGCAGAUUGCUGGGUUACUUAAUGUAUUUGUAAUAAUAAAUGGAUCAUAUAUUGACAUAAAGGCUCCAAAGAAUAACGCUCAAUAUUAUAUAAAUAAGAAGAACCAUUUUUCAAUAACUUUCCAAGCAGUAUGGAUACAGAGUUACAUUUUACAGACUUCGCAAGAUAUCGCUUCAUUUGUCAAUGACAUUCGAAUCUUUAGAAAUAGUGACUGGUGGAAAGAAAUUCACAAUAAUUACCAUCACUAUUUUCCAGCAAAAGAGUUCAUAAUUGGGAACAAAGCUUACUCUGUGCUUACAUGGUGUAUUCCUUCGUAUCGUAACCUUGGAAAUUUAACUCAUGUAAUUAUAUAAUAUGCUACAAUAUAUAUUUUUAAGUUAAGUGUAUCUUUUAUUUCUCUUUUAGAUUCAAAAGAACUUCAACGAUAUUCAUGCUAAAACAAGGCAAGUUAUUGAGAGAGCAUUUUUUCUGCUUAAAGGAAGAUUUAAGGAGACUAAAGUUCCUUGACAUGAAUCGGGAUGAUAUAAUUCCACACGUUAUCAUAGCAUGUUGUAUUCUUCGUAACAUAUGUCUCAUUGAUAUCGUUAACCUUUAGACUGCCGGCAUUUUUCAUUAAAAAAGUGGUUUUUUUUCUAAAAAAUUGUUCUAUACAAGUAACACACAUGGUGCAGAAUUUUAAGAUUUGUACAGAGCCACAAAAGUGGCUUUCCCGACAGGGAACGUACGAUUAAAUAUAAAAAAUUUUUAUUUUCUUAAAAAUAGUGUAUUUUGGGGGUUUUUGGUAUCGCUGAUUCUAAUUCUGAGCAUAGAUUUAUGAAAUUUCAAGUCCUAAGCGCAAUAUUGACAAUAUAAAUAAUAUAAACAUAUAGUAAAUAUAUAGA
Odontomachus brunneus is the source of this 4022-nucleotide long non-coding RNA. RefSeq lists it as uncharacterized. The transcript is spliced from 3 exons. Lineage: Eukaryota; Metazoa; Arthropoda; Insecta; Hymenoptera; Formicidae. The record is from RefSeq and is a predicted model, not a curated record.